RNAcentral lists this unclassified non-coding RNA (376 nucleotides) under fungal sp. Its description in RNAcentral is "partial internal transcribed spacer region". The stretch from base 1 to 46 matches the Rfam family "Eukaryotic small subunit ribosomal RNA", at positions 1786 to 1831 of the family's 1831-position model. The record is from RNAcentral. Lineage: Eukaryota; Fungi.
AAGUCGUAACAAGGUUUCCGUAGGUGAACCUGCGGAAGGAUCAUUAUCAAUAUAAUAAUCCAAAACGUAUGCUAAGACAGUUCUUUCGGGGACUGUGUUAGCAUAUAAACCAAUCUGUGAAAUGUUUUGUUUUACUUUUUGGAAAAAAGGAGGAGUGUAUAUAUAUAUAUUUCGGUAUAUAUAUAUUGCUUGCUUUUUUUCUACUAAGUAAAAAUAUACUUUAUUAACCAAUUGAACCCUUUGUUAAAUCUUUAAUUUCUAUUGUGUGAACUGAAUUGUUUCUUACUUUUCUUGUAACAAAGAAGAGAAGAAAAUAAAUUUUACGAAACAUAAUAAUUUAAAAGAACAACUCUUAGCAACGGAUAUCUUGGUUCUC